Diorhabda carinulata is the source of this 4909-nucleotide long non-coding RNA. RefSeq lists it as uncharacterized. The transcript is spliced from 2 exons. Lineage: Eukaryota; Metazoa; Arthropoda; Insecta; Coleoptera; Chrysomelidae. The record is from RefSeq and is a predicted model, not a curated record.
AUAAACUAGCUCCGAUCAUGGUAUAAUACAAAAACUAUUUCAGACAACUUUUUCAUUUGAAUUUAUAAAGUAGAAAAAACAACGGAACAUUAACGAAUAUAAAUGUUUUUGGUAUUUGAGACACUUUCUGUUACUUAAAAUAAUAGUUUAAAUUGCUAAAUUCAUGAUAAUUUUUUUAACACUAGGAAGAUAAGGACAAUGUUGAUCAGUAUGUGAACAAAAACAAGAUCCAUCUACUCCUUUGAGCAUUUUGUACCGUAACUCUUGUUAUUAUAGAAAACGGACAGAUCUGGCAACAACGUAAAUACCACCAUAAUACCGGGCGUAUCGCAAGACCCUUGCGCACAAAAAUUUAUAAAAAUCAUACAAGCCGUUUCCGAGAUAAUUGAGGCGUUCCAUACAUAAAACACUGUAGGUAUUUUCAUUCUAUUCAAGUUGAGUUGAACAUCAGUAUAUUUUUGACUAGAAAAAAUCAAUUGACUGGACCCUAGAAAUACUGGGUGCUUCUAAUUUCAUGCGAUAAAAUUCAAGAAGUGAUUGAUCGUAUCAAAUUACAAACAACAAACUUUUCUCAGUCCACUACUUUCCGUGAUAUCAGUUUUUGAGUUUUUAUUCAUUUUCUAAAAUUUCAGUAAAGCCAGAAACUUGAAAUUAUGUAAUUUUCAUGCACUCGCAAAGAACUAAGUUGAUUAUUUUCAGCAUUUAUCAUAACUCGUAUUAAAUGUUUCAUCUUCACUGUUUUCCACUCGAAUUAUUAAAAAAUUAUAAUUUAUGGUGCUUAUUUUUUUCUCUACAACUUUUGGGUCUGGAAAAAAAUUUAAGAAUGCAAAAUAUUUUCAAAUAAAACAAGGAAGUCAUAAUUUCAUUUAAUGAAAAUUCAUUUUGAAAAAAAGUUUUCAUGUUUAAUAAAGUAAGAGCCGAUAAUUCCUCCUCCAUAUAAUGGAACAGGAUUAUUGAAAAAAUAUCCGUGGUUAGUCUCUUGCAAGUGCACGUUUCUAGCAUUACUGAAAUUUCAGGAAAAAAAACUCAAGUCGUUAUCACCUUUUAAGAACAAUCACUUGAAGUUUGUCGCAUGAAUUUCGAAACAUUCUGUAUAUUAUACCUAGAAGAUAUGUGCAGAAAGUAACAAAGCUUUCCAUAGCCAUUGAAAAUAAUAAAUGGAUACCAAUCAGAGAGAUUGGCUAUCACAUCCAGAAUUAAUCUAUUAUAAUAUUAACAAAUACAUUUCAAAAAACCAAUAUUAAUUCAGAUACAUAUGUAUUUAUUGAUGAAAAUAAUUGCAAUUGAUAUAUAGAUGAAAUGAGUUAUUAGGGCAUUAGUUUGAAAUAUUUAAGGUACGAGCAAAAAUUUUUUAUUUAGUAGUAUGUACUUCCAGAUAUCUUUCAGCAAAAUCGUCUUUUCAGAUGUCAUGAGAAUCAAAGGAUCAACAUACUAAAAUUAAAAGCAAAGCAAAAAAGCUUCUUACCAAUCUACUAUUCAUUAAAUUAUUUAUAAAAUUUGUAUUUGUUAUAUGUCUUGCAACAAUGGAAAGAAGGAUUGUAUUUUUGUUUUUAAUUUUAUAGAAUAAAGGUCUUCACAGUUUUCAAACUGAAAUUUCGUAAAAUCGUUCUGGCUCACUUACGCGAAGUUGAGUUUGAGUGUUUUUGCAAUGUAUUAGUUCAAAAUUUUCACAAUACUCCUCUGUAAGCCGCAUACCUAAGGCAAGAGAAAUAUCCUCUUCUGAGUUUGCACCAAUUAAUAGAGGAACCCUAUUGAUUUCUCCGUUUUUUAGACUUUCGUAUAAGUUUUUAGUCAAAAAGGCACCAUCAUGUUCAACUUCAAUGACUGGACGUGGUUUUGUCUGAAAUGAAUAAAAAACUGAUUUUUUAAUUUGUUUGAUCACUUAAUUUCACUCUAGAUAAUUUCGAUAACAUAACAUCAUAAAUAACUAAAACAGAAGCAGUUGGUGGAAACUAAAAUUUAUCAUUUAAUGACUUCAAGGACCUAAGCAUAAAAUAGAUAAGGAAAAUUUAAGAUUUUUGUAUUUAAACAGACAGCUAAUGAAAGAGUGGAAACUAUACCGAAAAGAUUAUCCCAAAAAAGUUAUGAUAAAUAAAAGAAAAAUAAAAUGAAACCUAAACGUCUAAUUGUGAUUGGUAUUACAUCAAUUGAAACGGUCUAACUCACUGUCAACUCAAUGAUAAAUUUCAAUGGAAACUAGUUGGUAUUAUAAAAUGCUUUCAAACCCGUUUGAACGUAUGGAGUAGAACUAUGGGAAUCAGCUUCUAACUCGAAAUUAUAGAAAGAUUUCGAAUGUUCAAGAUUAUCUUUUUUUUUUUGGUAGUCACUUACUUAAUCACCACUUUUCAAGUGUAAGGGUUGUUGGGGUUAAGAUAUUAUGUUAUUACUUCUUCCACAGGUGUCUCUAUCCUUUCCUAUCUUGUAUUGUCUGUCUUCUUGUCCUUCCUUGUCCUUCUUCGAUUUUGUUUCGAAUUGAUUUUACGUCCAAAUUUUCUCUCAUAAUAUUUUAUUUUAUUUUGAUUUAUCAUCUAUUUUCUCAUUGCUUUUUCAUUUAUUUGUAUAAUUAUGCAUUUGUUGUUCCUCUAUUGGUUUUAAUUCUUUGAUGUGAGUCUGAUCUGUUUUCUAUUACACUCGUCUUUAUUUUGCUGAUGGAUUCUUAGUUAUGGGAUUCCCCUAUAAUCGUUACAAUUUAUUCUUCUCCUUACUUAUGUAUUGGUGUAAAUAUAGCCACAUACCAAUCGUAUUGCGUUUUUUCUGUAUCAUAUUUUAUACAGAAUGAUUUUUAGUAAUAUCUGCUAUUUCCAUUUCUGUCGUUAUUUUAUCUAUUCCUGGUGCUCCCAGUUUCAGUUUUUGUAUCACUCAUUGUAUUCCUUUUAAUUUCGAACUCAUUUCUGCUUUUUUUUUUUUGUUUAUGUUCCUGCUACUGCUACUUGUCUCUGUCUCUGUUUUCUAUCUAGUGAAUAUCCUUUCCUUCUUCUGUUUUUGUUCCUUAACUAAUCUUUCAACUUAUGACUGUUCCUCAUUGUAUCUUUCAUAGUCUGAUUGUGUUUUAGUUGUUAAGUAUAUCCAUUUUUGUUUCUUAUUUUCAUCUUAUUGCAUCUUUUAUAGUUUUCAAUCACCAAUUUGUUCUCUUGAGUUGCGUGCGGACCAUACUUGAUAUUUUGUUUUAUUUUUUAUAUCUCUAUGAGUUUACAACAUCUAAUUCUCUAAUAAUUGCUUUUUUGUGUUCUUCUGUUUGUUAUUUUCAUUCCUUCUGUAUUUCAUUACCAGUAGCUGGACACUCUAAUUUAUGAACCCUUUUACUCACUAGAAAAUAAAUGGGUUUUCUUGUCUACUUCUGACUUCUCUUGUCAUUUCAUGAAUCUUGUAUUGGAAGUUUUUUUUUGAGGUUACAAGUUCAUUAUUUUUGCAUGGUUAUUAUUUUUUGCUCCUUUUUAUCCUUGUUUUCCCAUUCAUUAUUUGUUACCUUUAUUCUCUUUUCAUGCUCUAUAAUUCAGAUCGCCUUUUAUUAUGUCACAGUUACUGUGGUCUGUUUUCUCAUCUUUAGUUGGUUGGUAUGGUGCAACCAUUGAUAGUUCUUCAGUUUCUCUUUCUUAUUUUAUGUCCACUGUGAGAAUUCUUUCGUUUAUGAAAUCUCCGUUCUUUAUAUACCUCAUAUUUUCAUCAUAUUUUUUCUUCUGAUUUAUUCCUUGGUGUCUCUUCAAUGCCUUCUGUGAAAUUUCUUGUUUUUAUUCUCUCAGUAGUUCAUCCUGUUCAUCCAUUUUGUUUUUCUUUCUUCUCGCGUCUUUAUCCUUAUCCAUAGCCUGAUCCGUCAACAAUAUUUUUCCUGCCGUUAUUAGUUUCUGAAGUCAUUUGACUCCUCAACUAAUUUUUUUUUUAUUUAUAUUUUAUUUCCAAUCAUUUUAUCUUAUAUUUUUCUUUAAUCCGAUUUUUACUUGCUAUCCAUUAUCUCUUUCUUUUUUUGCUUGACUUCAGAGCUAUCUAGUUCUUAAUUGAAAGAUGAUGUAGUCAUUUUCUACAGAAAGGAAUAUAAAGUAGUAAUCAGAAUGUGAAUACAAAAUACUAAGGGCAACUUAAUGUCAAUAUCUAGUUCAAAGGAAAACGAGUAGCCAAAACAUAUUAAUUCUCAAUAUAUGUCUGCGUUUUUAGUCAAAAUAAUUUUGUUGUAGUUGAUACUUACUAUUAUCGUAGUUUUUGUCGAAGCAAUAUCUAUUGCUUUGGCAGGGACACUUUGCAGAUAUUUGAGAAGUUCUGAACUUGUUGUAAUGUUAAUAUUUUUGUCUAUGAGAGAAGCCAGUUCAUAACCGUAUGGUGUUGGAUCUGGCAAAUACGCCCAAUUACUGAUACCUGAACCGCUUUCAGAAAUUCCUCCUCUAAAUAGACCUGAAAUAACCAAACUGAGUAUGAUCGGACUAAUUGAAAGAAAAAAUGUGAGAGGAACUGAAUAUCGUAUCAAAUAAAUCUCAUAGAUUUAGAGACUAGAGAGUUGAGAAUAUUUAUUUAAUAUAUUUAAUAUCAACGAAAUUUGAUCACAAAAGCUCAAUCGUUGAUAAUAUGUUAGUUUUGAGAAUUCAAUCAUUCAUUGAACUACCGUCAAGUUAAUGAUUUUGAGGCCAUGGAAAUGAAAUUUUCUUGUGAUUUUAUCGUGGAUGACUAGUUUCUUCUCAAGGAAAUGAGAAUAAGAUAUUCUUAAUUCGAUUGCUGAAGCAUGUGGGUUCCUAGAGCUGAUUAAUUGAAGUUUUAGCUGGUUUUCUUCGCUAGAAUCAUCGUACCCUUCUUUAGGCUCCUUUCGAUGGCCAUUUUAUCCCUUCUUCCUGUUAUUUUUGACUCCCGUCUAGCUCUUUGUCCUUUUAUUAUUUCUUCUUGGGUAUUCAUUUCACGUCUUCUUUCAGACUUUCGUCAUGACUUC